Molecule: long non-coding RNA, 623 nt
Filed under: Rattus norvegicus (Norway rat)
Lineage: Eukaryota; Metazoa; Chordata; Mammalia; Rodentia; Muridae
Description: long non-coding RNA NONRATT003578
Source: RNAcentral
CAGCAUCCCCAGCCCAGCAGUCUCUCCGCCGCCUGCCUAUGACAACGUGGCAUAUAUGCCCAAGGAGUCAUCAGAGUAGGAGAUUGCAACUUCUGCAGGUUGGAGUCCAGGCUUCCCACUCUACCCAGCGUCUCUCUACUCUCACCUUGUCUGAUCUGAGGCAGAGGUUCCCCAGCGAGGCUCACCAAGCCACGUGCACUGUGUCACUGAGUGAAGUAUUCCAUCCGUUUCCCAUUUCCUCCAGUAGUGUCUUUCCAAAAAAGACAUAAAGCUGGUGUCCAGGGUAGUGUCCUUAAGCAGCACCACCCCACCCCUGGCCCUGUCACCUGGUAUAGACAUCCUGUUUGCUCCGCUGCAGUCCUCUGCUCAUCAUGGGAAACCUUGGCUUCACAGAGGUUUCACGGGUUUGCCUUCAAGAUCAUUAAGCACAGAGAACUCAGAAUGUUCCAGAAUGGACUGGCAUGUCAGAGGCACAGAGCUCGGGCCCUACCGCACAGCAAGGCCUGACCGCCAGGCUCCCAAGUGGCUCUGUCCUUUGUCAUCUGCUGUUACAUCUUUGGGUUUUCAUUUUCCUGAAACUAAAGUGUUAAACUACAUGACAUAAAACUAAUCCAGAACCUCUU